Molecule: ribosomal RNA, 409 nt
Filed under: uncultured marine eukaryote
Lineage: Eukaryota
Description: SSU rRNA
Rfam family: Eukaryotic small subunit ribosomal RNA
Source: RNAcentral
GCGGUUAAAAAGCUCGUAGUUGGAUCUCGGCAGGUAGAGGGCGGUUCGUUUCUGACGGCACCGCCCCAUUUACCUGUGUUUUUGCAGAGGUCUCAAGGUGGCUUUAAUCGGCUGUCUUGGAACGCUUGCAGUUUUACUUUGAAAAAAUUAGAGUGCUCAAAGCAGGCUACAAAGCUUGAAUAUUUGUGCAUGGAAUAAUGGAAUAGGAAGUCGUUUCUAUUUUUUUGGUUUUCGGAAAUUGACUUAAUGAUUAAUAGGGACAGCCGGGGGCAUUAGUACUCAGACGACAGAGGUGAAAUUCUUGGACCGUUUGAGGACUAACUACUGCGAAAGCAUUUGCCAAGAGUGUUUUCAUUAAUCAAGAACGAAAGUUAGAGGUUCGAAGGCGAUCAGAUACCGCCCUAGUUCU